UACGUAGGGGGCAAGCGUUGUCCGGAAUCAUUGGGCGUAAAGCGUGCGCAGGCGGUUUUGUAAGCCAGAUGUGAAAUCCCCGGGCUUAACCUGGGAAUGGCAUUUGGGACUGCAAGGCUCGAGUGCGGCAGAGGAGACUGGAAUUCCUGGUGUAGCAGUGAAAUGCGUAGAUAUCAGGAGGAACACCGAUGGCGAAGGCAGGUCUCUGGGCUGACACUGACGCUCAUGCACGAAAGCGUGGGGAGCAAACAGG
This 253-nucleotide ribosomal RNA is filed under the name uncultured bacterium. Its description in RNAcentral is "partial 16S ribosomal RNA". It matches the Rfam family "Bacterial small subunit ribosomal RNA", at positions 524 to 776 of the family's 1533-position model. The record is from RNAcentral.